GAUGAACGCUGGCGGCGUGCCUAAUACAUGCAAGUCGAGCGAACAGAUGAGGAGCUUGCUCCUUUGACGUUAGCGGCGGACGGGUGAGUAACACGUGGGUAACCUACCUAUAAGACUGGGAUAACUUCGGGAAACCGGAGCUAAUACCGGAUAAUAUUUCGAACCGCAUGGUUCGAUAGUGAAAGAUGGCUUUGCUAUCACUUAUAGAUGGACCUGCGCCGUAUUAGCUAGUUGGUAAGGUAACGGCUUACCAAGGCAACGAUACGUAGCCGACCUGAGAGGGUGAUCGGCCACACUGGAACUGAGACACGGUCCAGACUCCUACGGGAGGCAGCAGUAGGGAAUCUUCCGCAAUGGGCGAAAGCCUGACGGAGCAACGCCGCGUGAGUGAUGAAGGUCUUCGGAUCGUAAAACUCUGUUAUUAGGGAAGAACAAACGUGUAAGUAACUGUGCACGUCUUGACGGUACCUAAUCAGAAAGCCACGGCUAACUACGUGCCAGCAGCCGCGGUAAUACGUAGGUGGCAAGCGUUAUCCGGAAUUAUUGGGCGUAAAGCGCGCGUAGGCGGUUUUUUAAGUCUGAUGUGAAAGCCCACGGCUCAACCGUGGAGGGUCAUUGGAAACUGGAAAACUUGAGUGCAGAAGAGGAAAGUGGAAUUCCAUGUGUAGCGGUGAAAUGCGCAGAGAUAUGGAGGAACACCAGUGGCGAAGGCGACUUUCUGGUCUGUAACUGACGCUGAUGUGCGAAAGCGUGGGGAUCAAACAGGAUUAGAUACCCUGGUAGUCCACGCCGUAAACGAUGAGUGCUAAGUGUUAGGGGGUUUCCGCCCCUUAGUGCUGCAGCUAACGCAUUAAGCACUCCGCCUGGGGAGUACGACCGCAAGGUUGAAACUCAAAGGAAUUGACGGGGACCCGCACAAGCGGUGGAGCAUGUGGUUUAAUUCGAAGCGACGCGAAGAACCUUACCAAAUCUUGACAUCCUUUGACCCUUCUAGAGAUAGAAGUUUCCCCUUCGGGGGACAAAGUGACAGGUGGUGCAUGGUUGUCGUCAGCUCGUGUCGUGAGAUGUUGGGUUAAGUCCCGCAACGAGCGCAACCCUUAAGCUUAGUUGCCAUCAUUAAGUUGGGCACUCUAAGUUGACUGCUGGUGACAAACCGGAGGAAGGUGGGGAUGACGUCAAAUCAUCAUGCCCCUUAUGAUUUGGGCUACACACGUGCUACAAUGGACAAUACAAAGGGCAGCGAAACCGUGAGGUCAAGCAAAUCCCAUAAAGUUGUUCUCAGUUCGGAUUGUAGUCUGCAACUCGACUACAUGAAGCUGGAAUCGCUAGUAAUCGUAGAUCAGCAUGCUACGGUGAAUACGUUCCCGGGUCU
RNAcentral lists this ribosomal RNA (1372 nucleotides) under uncultured bacterium. Its description in RNAcentral is "bacterial SSU rRNA". It matches the Rfam family "Bacterial small subunit ribosomal RNA", at positions 28 to 1381 of the family's 1533-position model. The record is from RNAcentral.